RNAcentral lists this ribosomal RNA (253 nucleotides) under uncultured bacterium. RNAcentral's name for it is "partial 16S ribosomal RNA". It matches the Rfam family "Bacterial small subunit ribosomal RNA", at positions 524 to 776 of the family's 1533-position model. The record is from RNAcentral.
UACGUAGGGGGCAAGCGUUGUCCGGAUUUAUUGGGCGUAAAGAGCGUGUAGGCGGCCAGACAGGUCAGCUGUGAAAACUCGAGGCUCAACCUCGAGACGUCGGUUGAAACCGUCUGGCUAGAGUCCGGAAGAGGAGAGUGGAAUUCCCGGUGUAGCGGUGAAAUGCGCAGAUAUCGGGAAGAACGCCCGUGGCGAAGGCGGCUCUCUGGGACGGUACUGACGCUGAGACGCGAAAGCGUGGGGAGCGAACAGG